This 429-nucleotide ribosomal RNA is filed under the name Chloroflexota bacterium. Its description in RNAcentral is "Chloroflexi bacterium partial 16S ribosomal RNA". It matches the Rfam family "Bacterial small subunit ribosomal RNA", at positions 355 to 776 of the family's 1533-position model. The record is from RNAcentral. Lineage: Bacteria; Bacillati; Chloroflexota.
UGGGGAAUAUUGCACAAUGGGCGCAAGCCUGAUGCAGCCAUGCCGCGUGUGUGAAGAAGGCCUUCGGGUUGUAAAGCACUUUCAGCGGGGAGGAAGGCGUUAAGGUUAAUAACCUUGGCGAUUGACGUUACCCGCAGAAGAAGCACCGGCUAACUCCGUGCCAGCAGCCGCGGUAAUACGGAGGGUGCAAGCGUUAAUCGGAAUUACUGGGCGUAAAGCGCACGCAGGCGGUCUGUCAAGUCGGAUGUGAAAUCCCCGGGCUCAACCUGGGAACUGCAUCUGAUACUGGCAAGCUUGAGGCUCGUAGAGGGGGGUAGAAUUCCAGGUGUAGCGGUGAAAUGUGUAGAGAUCUGGAGGAAUACCGGUGGCGAAGGCGGCCCCCUGGACGAAGACUGACGCUCAGGUGCGAAAGCGUGGGGAGCAAACAGG